AAAAUGACUCUCGGCAAUGGAUAUCUUAACUCUCGCGUAGAUGAAGAACGUAGCGAAAUGCGAUACUUGGUGUGAAUUGCAAAAUCUCGUGAACCAUUGAGUCUUUGAACGUAAGUUGCACCCGAAGCCAUUAGGUCGAGGGCAUCCCUGCCUGGGCUUCACA
RNAcentral lists this ribosomal RNA (163 nucleotides) under Amelanchier alnifolia var. semi-integrifolia. RNAcentral describes it as "5.8S ribosomal RNA". It matches the Rfam family "5.8S ribosomal RNA". From Rfam's summary of the family: 5.8S ribosomal RNA (5.8S rRNA) is a component of the large subunit of the eukaryotic ribosome. It is transcribed by RNA polymerase I as part of the 45S precursor that also contains 18S and 28S rRNA. Functionally, it is thought that 5.8S rRNA may be involved in ribosome translocation. Lineage: Eukaryota; Viridiplantae; Streptophyta; Magnoliopsida; Rosales; Rosaceae. The record is from RNAcentral.